AUUGAACGCUGGCGGAAUGCUUUACACAUGCAAGUCGAACGGCAGCACGGACUUCGGUCUGGUGGCGAGUGGCGAACGGGUGAGUAAUACAUCGGAACGUGCCCAAUCGUGGGGGAUAACGUAGCGAAAGCUACGCUAAUACCGCAUACGAUCUAAGGAUGAAGCGGGGGAUCGCAAGACCUCGUGCGAUUGGAGCGGGCGAUGGCAGAUUAGGUAGUUGGUAGGGUAAAGGCCUACCAAGCCGAGGAUCUGUAGCUGGUCUGAGAGGAUGAUCAGCCACACUGGGACUGAGACACGGCCCAGACUCCUACGGGAGGCAGCAGUGGGGAAUUUUGGACAAUGGACGCAAGUCUGAUCCAGCCAUUCCGCGUGCAGGAUGAAGGCCCUCGGGUUGUAAACUGCUUUUGUACAGAACGAAAAGGCUCUGGUUAAUACCUAGGGCUCAUGACGGUACUGUAAGAAUAAGCACCGGCUAACUACGUGCCAGCAGCCGCUGUAA
This 499-nucleotide ribosomal RNA is filed under the name uncultured bacterium. RNAcentral's name for it is "partial 16S ribosomal RNA". It matches the Rfam family "Bacterial small subunit ribosomal RNA", at positions 30 to 523 of the family's 1533-position model. The record is from RNAcentral.